This 149-nucleotide ribosomal RNA is filed under the name Exophiala jeanselmei. RNAcentral describes it as "5.8S ribosomal RNA". It matches the Rfam family "5.8S ribosomal RNA". From Rfam's summary of the family: 5.8S ribosomal RNA (5.8S rRNA) is a component of the large subunit of the eukaryotic ribosome. It is transcribed by RNA polymerase I as part of the 45S precursor that also contains 18S and 28S rRNA. Functionally, it is thought that 5.8S rRNA may be involved in ribosome translocation. The record is from RNAcentral. Lineage: Eukaryota; Fungi; Ascomycota; Eurotiomycetes; Chaetothyriales; Herpotrichiellaceae.
AACGGAUCUCUUGGUUCUGGCAUCGAUGAAGAACGCAGCGAAAUGCGAUAAGUAAUGCGAAUUGCAGAAUUCUCGUGAGUCAUCGAAUCUUUGAACGCACAUUGCGCCCUUUGGUAUUCCGAAGGGCAUGCCUGUUCGAGCGUCAUUUU